GUCUCCGUGGUCCAGUGGUUACGACGUCCGGCUGUUAACCGGGAUAUCGGCGGUUCGAUCCCGCCCGGGGACG
RNAcentral lists this transfer RNA (73 nucleotides) under Talaromyces stipitatus ATCC 10500. Its description in RNAcentral is "tRNA-Asn (GTT) (tRNA-Asn-GTT-2-1, tRNA-Asn-GTT-2-2)". It matches the Rfam family "tRNA". Rfam says of the family: Transfer RNA (tRNA) molecules are approximately 80 nucleotides in length. Their secondary structure includes four short double-helical elements and three loops (D, anti-codon, and T loops). The record is from RNAcentral. Lineage: Eukaryota; Fungi; Ascomycota; Eurotiomycetes; Eurotiales; Trichocomaceae.